RNAcentral lists this ribosomal RNA (468 nucleotides) under uncultured bacterium. RNAcentral describes it as "partial 16S ribosomal RNA". It matches the Rfam family "Bacterial small subunit ribosomal RNA", at positions 28 to 507 of the family's 1533-position model. The record is from RNAcentral.
GACGAACGCUGGCGGCGUGCCUAACACAUGCAAGUCGAACGGAAAGGCCCUGCUUUUGUGGGGUGCUCGAGUGGCGAACGGGUGAGUAACACGUGAGUAACCUGCCCUUGACUUUGGGAUAACUUCAGGAAACUGGGGCUAAUACCGGACAGGAUCUCCUGCUGCAGGGUGGGGGUUGGAAAGUUUCGGCGGUUGGGGAUGGACUCGCGGCUUAUCAGCUUGUUGGUGGGGGAGUGGCUUACCAAGCCUUUGACGGGUAGCCGGCCUGAGAGGGUGGACGGGGACAUGAGGACUGAGAGAGGCCGCAGAGUACAACGGGAGGCAACAGUGGGAAAUAUUACACAAUGGGCGGAAGCCUGUUGAGGCAGCGCCCCGUGCGGGAUGACCGCAUUCGGGUUGUAAACCGCUUUAGCCUGUGACGAAGCGUGAGUGACGGUAAUGGGUAAAGAAGCACCGGCUAACUACGUG